GUCGGGUAGGCAGCAGUGGGGAAUAUUGCACAAUGGGCGCAAGCCUGAUGCAGCCAUGCCGCGUGUAUGAAGAAGGCCUUCGGGUUGUAAAGUACUUUCAGCAGUGAGGAAGGUGGGUAUGUUAAUAGCAUACUCAUUUGACGUUAGCUGCAGAAGAAGCACCGGCUAACUCCGUGCCAGCAGCCGCGGUAAUACGGAGGGUGCGAGCGUUAAUCGGAAUUACUGGGCGUAAAGCGCAUGCAGGUGGUUUGUUAAGUCAGAUGUGAAAGCCCGGGGCUCAACCUCGGAAUUGCAUUUGAAAACUGGCAAACUAGAGUACUGUAGAGGGGGUAGAAUUUCAGGUGUAGCGGUGAAAUGCGUAGAGAUCUGAAGGAAUACCGGUGGCGAAGGCGGCCCCCUGGACAGAUACUGACACUCAGAUGCGAAAGCGUGGGGAGCAAACAGGAUUAGAUACCCUGGUAG
This 462-nucleotide ribosomal RNA is filed under the name uncultured bacterium. Its description in RNAcentral is "bacterial SSU rRNA". It matches the Rfam family "Bacterial small subunit ribosomal RNA", at positions 339 to 793 of the family's 1533-position model. The record is from RNAcentral.